This 529-nucleotide ribosomal RNA is filed under the name uncultured bacterium. RNAcentral's name for it is "bacterial SSU rRNA". It matches the Rfam family "Bacterial small subunit ribosomal RNA", at positions 355 to 895 of the family's 1533-position model. The record is from RNAcentral.
UGGGGAAUAUUGCACAAUGGGCGGAAGCCUGAUGCAGCGACGCCGCGUGGGGGAUGAAGGCCUUCGGGUUGUAAACUCCUUUCGACAGGGACGAAGCUUUUGUGACGGUACCUGUAUAAGAAGCACCGGCUAACUACGUGCCAGCAGCCGCGGUAAUACGUAGGGUGCGAGCGUUGUCCGGAAUUACUGGGCGUAAAGAGCUCGUAGGUGGUUUGUCGCGUCGUCUGUGAAAUUCCGGGGCUUAACUCCGGGCGUGCAGGCGAUACGGGCUGACUUGAGUGCUGUAGGGGAGACUGGAAUUCCUGGUGUAGCGGUGAAAUGCGCAGAUAUCAGGAGGAACACCGAUGGCGAAGGCAGGUCUCUGGGCAGUAACUGACGCUGAGGAGCGAAAGCAUGGGUAGCGAACAGGAUUAGAUACCCUGGUAGUCCAUGCCGUAAACGGUGGGCGCUAGGUGUAGGGGGCUUCCACGUCUUCUGUGCCGUAGCUAACGCAUUAAGCGCCCCGUCUGGGGAGUACGGCCGCAAGGCU